This 253-nucleotide ribosomal RNA is filed under the name uncultured bacterium. Its description in RNAcentral is "partial 16S ribosomal RNA". It matches the Rfam family "Bacterial small subunit ribosomal RNA", at positions 524 to 776 of the family's 1533-position model. The record is from RNAcentral.
UACGUAGGUGGCAAGCGUUGUUCGGAAUUAUUGGGCGUAAAGAGCGCGUAGGCGGUCCGAUAAGUCGGCUGUGAAAGUCAGGGGCUCAACCCUUGAAAGCCGGCCGAUACUGUCGGACUAGAGUCCGGAAGAGGCAAGUGGAAUUCCCGGUGUAGCGGUGAAAUGCGCAGAUAUCGGGAGGAACACCAAUGGCGAAGGCAGCUUGCCGGGACGGUACUGACGCUGAGGCGCGAAAGCGUGGGGAGCAAACAGG